This is a non-coding RNA of Anolis sagrei ordinatus, 273 nucleotides long. The record is from RefSeq and is a predicted model, not a curated record. Lineage: Eukaryota; Metazoa; Chordata; Lepidosauria; Squamata; Anolidae.
AGAGUUGCCACAUAAAUGAAGGUGAAGAGGGUGAAGAGGGAGAAGAAGGGGAAGAAUCUGAACUUUCCUUUGAGGAGAAGGAGAUGGAAAAACAGAAGCUUCUGUAUCAACAAUCCCGGUUGCACAACCGAGGGGCAGCCGAGAUGGUUCUGCAGAUGAUCAGCGCCUGCAAAGGAGAGCCUGGUGCCAUGGUGUCUUCCACGUUGAAACUGGGCAUCUCCAUCCUGAAUGGCGGCAACGAGGAAGUGCAGCAGGUAUGGAGGAAAGGAAAAA